ACAAAAUGGAAAAUAUAGUUUUGCAAGUUUAACACCAUUGUGAUAAAAUUCUAUUUUUUUCUUCCUUGAUGACUUUGAUUGGAUUACAGGUGGAUAAUGCAAUUUGGGGCACAUGAUCAGGCUGUGACUGCAGCCUAUCUUCCAACAGGUCCCUUUACAAUGAAGUUAUCACUACCCGAUCAGAAUUUUCCUGAAUCACCAGACCAAGAUAUAAUUUUAUCUACAGUUCUCCUUCUAAGGUAAGUAAUGCUAUUGCAACUUCUCAGGUGGACAUUAUCCAUUUACAGCUUGUUGCUUGUUGCUUGAUUGCAUUUAAAAUAAUCUAAUUAAACUAUGUUCUGUUAACAAUAGCAGUCCCUUAAUUUGCACAUGCCAUUUACACCUUUCUAAGUGAUCUUAAUCUCAAAUAAUUUGUCUAAUCCUUUCCCCCCUUCUGGGUCUUAUAGGAUAAGAUCUCAGAAGAGGGAAGCUGCAACUACUAAAACUGUAUUUCACUUGUCUCAGCAGGUUAUCUGAUGUGCUUAUCAAUAGCAUAAUUUGAGAUCUUUGCAUUUCAUUGCAUAUCUUGGCUUGUUUGAAAUCUCAGUUUACAAACUGAAUUUUGUUUGCAACUUGGGCUAUUUCACAUAACCUUAGUGCCACCUGUUAAACUGACCUCCAGUUCCCUCUGCCCCCAUUGUCAUUUUAAUAACUAUCUUCACUGAUACCAGGGGACAAAAGGAGAUGGAAAAACAAUUUUAGUACCUGGAUGAUCAUGGAAUGUUAAAGGUGGAAAAGAGCAUUUGGUCCUCAAGAAUCCGAAUCAGUGUAUCCACGAUAUCAGCUUGAACGCUCUGAACAGCAAGUACACCAUUAGCAGAGUUUUAAUCCUGAAAUCUUCUGCAUACUGCAUUUAGGGAAGGAAUGGUGGCAGGGCAAAAUUGGCCAACAUGAAGAAUAUUAAAGUUGAUGUCACUAGAAGUCCAAAGCAAACAGGUUGAGACUGUGAUCCUGCCUUAGGUAUGGGUACCUGGUGGGCUUAAUAUAAGUGUUUUAAUUCUGCUGAAUGUUUCACUUCUGACAGUGAUUUGGGAGUUUUGCUGAAGGGAACCCAGAGAGGGCGCUC
This 1105-nucleotide long non-coding RNA is filed under the name Naja naja (Indian cobra). RNAcentral's name for it is "lncRNA (ENSNNAG00000000803.1)". Lineage: Eukaryota; Metazoa; Chordata; Lepidosauria; Squamata; Elapidae. The record is from RNAcentral.